Long non-coding RNA from Dermochelys coriacea (leatherback sea turtle), 159 nucleotides. RefSeq lists it as uncharacterized. The record is from RefSeq and is a predicted model, not a curated record. The transcript is spliced from 3 exons. Lineage: Eukaryota; Metazoa; Chordata; Testudines; Dermochelyidae.
CCCUUGCCUCCAGGUACCACCCCCCGCAGCUCCCAUGGCCGGGAAUGGGGAACUGCAGCAGUGGGAGCUUCGGGGCAGGUACCUGGAGGCGUAGCAAGGGCAGCAUGUGGAGCCCUGUGCCUCCUGUCCCCAGGGGCUGCAGUGCAGGUUGCUUCCUGG